GGGGUCGUAGGGUAGCCUGGUCCAUCCUUCAUGCUUGGGGUGCAUGAGACCUGAGUUCAAAUCUCAGCGACCCCA
This 75-nucleotide transfer RNA is filed under the name Candidatus Methanoperedens nitratireducens. Its description in RNAcentral is "tRNA-Pro". It matches the Rfam family "tRNA". Rfam says of the family: Transfer RNA (tRNA) molecules are approximately 80 nucleotides in length. Their secondary structure includes four short double-helical elements and three loops (D, anti-codon, and T loops). RNAcentral also lists the same sequence under 5 other names. Lineage: Archaea; Methanobacteriati; Methanobacteriota; Methanomicrobia; Methanosarcinales; Candidatus Methanoperedentaceae. The record is from RNAcentral.